AUGACCAUGAAGUUGUUGGUGGACACCAAGGCCCAACGCGUGGUCUACGCGGAGGCCGGCAAGGACGUCGUCGACUUCCUCUUCUCCCUCCUCACCUUGCCGCUCGGCACGGUCGCCGGCCUCCUCAACCCGGGCUCCAUGUUUGGCAGCGUCGGCAACCUCCACUCCAGCGUCGGCAACCUCCACUCCAGCGUCACCAACCUCGACGACGCUUACAUGUGCCGCGACGAUGCCAAGGCCGCCCUGCGCACACCGGCCGGUCGCAAGCUUCUCCAACCGGCGCCGGCGGAGUCCGGUGACGGCGGCGUGGCGUCUCGCGCUGCUGCAUCUGGAUUUGUGCAGGGGGUCGUCACGUGCACGGUGAGGGACGGUCUCAAGGUCACGCCCGUGUCAGCCAUCUCCGGGAUCACGCUCCUCAAAUCCUUGGGCAUCAAGGACAUCGCCUCGCUCCAGGAGAAGACGGUGCAGCUUGCCCACGCCGAGGUGACAAAUGACUUGCUAAUUCGUCAAAAAAUUUAA
RNAcentral lists this ribosomal RNA (519 nucleotides) under Triticum aestivum (bread wheat). RNAcentral describes it as "partial small subunit ribosomal RNA". Lineage: Eukaryota; Viridiplantae; Streptophyta; Magnoliopsida; Poales; Poaceae. The record is from RNAcentral.